Molecule: ribosomal RNA, 256 nt
Filed under: uncultured Acaulospora
Lineage: Eukaryota; Fungi; Glomeromycota; Glomeromycetes; Diversisporales; Acaulosporaceae
Description: partial 18S ribosomal RNA
Rfam family: Eukaryotic small subunit ribosomal RNA
Source: RNAcentral
AGCAGCCGCGGUAAUUCCAGCUCCAAUAGCGUAUAUUAAAGUUAGUUGCAGUUAAAAAGACUCGUAGUUGAAUUUCGGGAUUGACGUGAUGGUCAUGCCUUAAGGGGUAUGAACUGUUGCAGUUGAUUUCUCACCUUCUGGAGAAACUUGAUGUCCUUUAUUGGGUGUCUUGCGGAUUCCAGGACCUUUACCUUGAAAAAUUAGAGUGUUUAAAGCAGGCAUUUUUGCUCGAAUACAUUAGCAUGGAAUAAUAGAA